GAUGAGGACAGGAACAGCAAGUAGUUUGCACCUUCAAAAUGAAGCAAUGGAUUUUCCCAUGAGUAGACAAGAGCUUCCUAUCUGCAUGAAUGGAAGCUGUUUCCCAGUAUGGAAUGCAUAUCAGCCUGUGAAAAUGUAUAGUGAAACGGGAGCUCUCUAGCAGAGACCACUAGAGCAAUCCACCUCUUUCUGCUGGACACUAGCUGAUGGCCCACAGCAUAUGUUUGUGCUUUCCAGCACGUACGAAUACUGGAUAACUAGACAAUUUCAUCAGCAUGUGCAAAUGUGGAUGCUUUUACAAAUGCGUGAGUCUUCGAUUUAAACAGGUAAAAUACAUUUGAAUGAGCAUGUCACAGCAAUGUGGAAUAUCUUUAACACAUAGCAAAUGAAUAAAUAUUUAUACUCCGCACAGGAUUUUGCCAGAAUUACUGGAGAUGGUAUUUGGCUAGAUUUCUCCAAGAAUCAAAACCUGAAGAAAGAAACGCUAAAAUGAAAGGCACUGUUGUUAAAUGUAUUAAAAACAUGGUUUGACACUAGUUAGUUGUUCAGUUCUUCUGUCACUUUUGCAGCUUUCUUACCUU
Molecule: long non-coding RNA, 581 nt
Organism: Tympanuchus pallidicinctus (lesser prairie-chicken)
Lineage: Eukaryota; Metazoa; Chordata; Aves; Galliformes; Phasianidae
Exons: 3
Source: RefSeq, a predicted model, not a curated record